AAGUCCACAGAGUCCACGUCAAGCUCGCCUCACCGCAUCGCGCCCACGCGCGGCGGAGAUCCCCUUCCACACAUUCUCUCCACGACGCCGCGAAGCAGCAGGAAGGCCGCGCCCGCAGGUUACCUUACUGUUCCGGUGGUGUUGGCGUUCUGGUGCUGCUGCUGUCCACCAGAGCUCCUCGUGGUGCUGCCACCGUCCAACGGAGCUCCUGCCGGCCUCCCUGUCGUGUCACCCUAUCGGAAAGUCACCAUCCUUUUCCUAUGUUCAUGCCCUCCGCGGGUGCUGUGGUGACGAUGUUGUCCACCGGAGCUCCUGGUGCUCACUACGGCAUGCUGUCCCUGCCUUCUUUGAGUUUGAUCUCUCCUACAACACCUUGUCAUCCAUCGGAAGGGAGGUAGCUCAUCAAUGACAGCUUACACCACUGCAGAGCAAGGAGAGGGUGUUCUCGAGAGCAUGGAGCUGGGCCAAGGAGCUUGCCGAGAGCAGGAUGGAAUGAGGUGGCCUUACUACACUAAAUUUUUGGAACCAUAGGUCUCGUGUUGGACAGUUUCAGUUUCCACUGUCAUUUAUGAGUCUCACAGUGAUGCUGAGAUUUCUGUUGUUGCUUUUUGCCGAGGAGAAAACAUGGCCAUGUGCUCCUUUUGAUGGAACUUCUAGGUGUGCCUGUCUUGUUUGCUUUGUGGAUGAUGCCCUAUUUUAUUCUCUCUCCCUCUUUCCCUGAGUAUAUUUUGACCUAUAGGUGUGGGUUGACUAUGAUUUCCUCUAAGCAAUAACCUCUAUUCAUAAAAAUGAUGUGUUGAACAAUUAAAGUUUUGCUACCUAUGAUAGUUGCAGCCUUCACAGGCGAUGGAAGCAUCAUCACAUUGUGGGACCCUGAUAAUAAUGCACUUGUUGGUGUGAUUUCAGAAGCAUUAUUGAGUUCAAGACCAAAGGUUGUAGUGUGGAAUGCGUCGAAUAUUAAAUACGGCGGUUUUACACUCUUUGUGCAGAAGGUGAGGAUAUACAUGAGUUAAGGAUGAUACUGGAUAUCUCGUGGCUGCCAAGGGGUCAAGUCAAGGACUCCCAUGUCACUCAAGAUCAGUGCAGAAUGUGUGGCUCCACUCCGGUCCAGAUUGCACCUGGGAGAAAAGCUACCAUUCCUUCCUCUUCUCCAUGCCUUCCUCUGCAGAUACUUCGUUUCGCUCUUUCGUUAUAUUUUUCUGGUCCGUGCAUGUAGUUCCUUCUAAUGGGCAGUAUCAUUUGUUGUACGCAGCAUGCAUCUUGACCGAAUGUUGAUCUCCUUUAUUUGGCGUACCCAUGUUGUAGUUGAUGGACAAGUCAUGCACAUAGAAAUGAUCCUUGCUAUGAUGCAAAGGAUCCUGUCUGUGGAGGUAAUAGUCAAGCCAUACAUCAGCACCAGUUGUGCUCGUUUGAUCCUCAUGUGUAUCCAGCAAAGAUCUUUGUGUAAAGCAAUAUAGAAAUUUUUCAGGUCGCAAAAUUAUCCU
Lolium rigidum is the source of this 1484-nucleotide long non-coding RNA. RefSeq lists it as uncharacterized. The transcript is spliced from 8 exons. The record is from RefSeq and is a predicted model, not a curated record. NCBI's taxonomy places the organism in Eukaryota, Viridiplantae, Streptophyta, Magnoliopsida, Poales, Poaceae.